This 75-nucleotide transfer RNA is filed under the name Phaeodactylibacter sp. RNAcentral describes it as "tRNA-Arg". It matches the Rfam family "tRNA". Rfam says of the family: Transfer RNA (tRNA) molecules are approximately 80 nucleotides in length. Their secondary structure includes four short double-helical elements and three loops (D, anti-codon, and T loops). The record is from RNAcentral. Lineage: Bacteria; Pseudomonadati; Bacteroidota; Saprospiria; Saprospirales; Haliscomenobacteraceae.
GGUCCCGUAGUACAAUGGAUAGUACGUAGGUCUCCGGAACCUAAGAUCCAGGUUCGAUUCCUGGCGGGAUCACUA